MicroRNA precursor from Otolemur garnettii (small-eared galago), 69 nucleotides. Ensembl annotates it as microRNA 302a. Its record names the gene MIR302A. NCBI's taxonomy places the organism in Eukaryota, Metazoa, Chordata, Mammalia, Primates, Galagidae. The record is from Ensembl.
CCACUACUUAAAUGUGGAUGUACUUGCUUUGAAACUAAAAAAGUAAGUGCUUCCAUGUUUUGGUGAUGG